GGCUCAGGACGAACGCUGGCGGCGUGCUUCAUACAUGCAAGUCGAACGAUAAGGUCUCUUCGGAGACACAUAAGUGGCGGACGGGUGAGUAAAAUGUAGAGAAUCUGCCCUAGAGUGGGGGACAACAGUUGGAAACGACUGCUAAUACCGCAUAUGAGCGCAGCUGAGAUGCUGUUCUUGAAAACUCCGGUGCUCUGGGAUGAGUCUGCAUCUGAUUAGCUAGUUGGCGGUGUAAUGGACCCCCAAGGCGACGAUCAGUAGCUGGUUUGAGAGGAUGAUCAGCCACAAUGGGACUGAGACACGGCCCAUACUCCUACGGGAGGCAGCAGUAGGGAAUUUUGCGCAAUGGGGGAAACCCUGACGCCAGCAACGCCGCGUGAUUGAAUAAGCCCUUCGGGGUGUAAAGAUCUGUCAGUGGGGACGAAACUUGACGGUACCCACAGAGGAAGCAUCGGCUAACUCCGUGCCAGCCGCCGC
This 477-nucleotide ribosomal RNA is filed under the name uncultured bacterium. Its description in RNAcentral is "bacterial SSU rRNA". It matches the Rfam family "Bacterial small subunit ribosomal RNA", at positions 21 to 518 of the family's 1533-position model. The record is from RNAcentral.